RNAcentral lists this small RNA (27 nucleotides) under Bombyx mori (domestic silkworm). RNAcentral's name for it is "ovarian small RNA-7732". Lineage: Eukaryota; Metazoa; Arthropoda; Insecta; Lepidoptera; Bombycidae. The record is from RNAcentral.
UCUCGAAUGUUCCACCUAUAGUGCUGU